CCAGGCGAGGCCACAACGUGCAGAAAAAUAGACCUGGGAGCCCAGAGCAGGGGGGCGAACGGAAAGUCUCNCCCCGGGGACCGGCUCGCCGGUGCCCUUCGAGGGCCCCCCACCUGCCCCAGGUGUGCCGCGCCCACGGCCGCGCCAGGCGAGGCCACAACGUGCAGAAAAAUAGACCUGGGAGCCCAGAGCAGGGGGGCGAACUGGGAAAGUCUCCGUGGGGGACGCGGCAGCCCCGCAGGGUCCUAAGGCUUUCAUCAGGCAGAAAGGAAGGGGCAAGUCACUUCUGGGGAGGGCACGGAGGGGUAAAUGGAGGACAGCGUUUAGGAGCUUCGAGGGCGGCUGCAGGGUGGGAUGGAGGGCGCCCGGGGGCUCAGGGACUGAGCGUCUGCCUUGGGCCCAGGGCGUGACCCCGCGGUCCCGGAUCGAGUCCCGCAUGGGGCUCCCUGCACCGAGCCCGCUUCUCCCUCUGCUUGUGGCUCUGCCUCUCUCUCUCUCUCUCUCUCUCUCUCUCUCGUGUGUGUGUCUCAUGAAUAAAUAAGAUCUUUUAAAAAGGAAAGGAAAUCACGGCUGGAAAGAUGGAACCAAACAGCAGAAGACUUUAAUGGUAUAGUCUUUUUUUUUUUAUUAUUUAUUUAUGUAGUCAUACAGAGAGAGAGGCAGAGACACAGGCAGAGGGAGAAGCAGGCUCCAUGCACCGGGAGCCCGACAUGGGACUCGAUCCCGGGUCUCCAGGAUCGCGCCCUGGGCCAAAGGCAGGCGCCAAACCGCUGCGCCACCCAGGGAUCCCAGCAGAAGACUUUAAAACCUGGUUAAAGUUCUUAGACGGGCCCGGCAUCAUGUGCAGGCAGCAUGUUCACAGGACCACAGGCUCAAAGCUACAGGGUCCGCCGGUCUCCUGUCCUGUACAAGAGCGUAACAGCAAACUGUGCCCUGUUAGGAAGAUGAAUGUGAUGAUAAAACAUGCUUUAAUAUACCUACUAAAGGGGCACCUGGGUGGCUCAGAUGGUUAAGCAUCUGCCUUCAGCUCGGGUUGUGAUCUCCAGGUCCUGAGAUCGAGCCCCAUGUCCGGCUCCUGGCUCAGCGGGAAGCUUGCUUAUCCCUCUGCCUCUGCCUCUCCCCCAGCUCAUGGUCUCUCUUUCUCUGUCUCAAAUGAAUAAAUAAAAAAUCUUAAAAAAAAAAAAUAUACCU
RNAcentral lists this long non-coding RNA (1191 nucleotides) under Vulpes vulpes (red fox). RNAcentral's name for it is "lncRNA (ENSVVUG00000019541.1)". Lineage: Eukaryota; Metazoa; Chordata; Mammalia; Carnivora; Canidae. The record is from RNAcentral.